This 142-nucleotide ribosomal RNA is filed under the name Syngnathus acus (greater pipefish). RNAcentral describes it as "partial small subunit ribosomal RNA". Lineage: Eukaryota; Metazoa; Chordata; Actinopteri; Syngnathiformes; Syngnathidae. The record is from RNAcentral.
AAACUGGGAUUAGAUACCCCACUAUGCAUAACCGUAAACAUUGAUAGCAAUUCACUCGCAAUCCGCCAGGGAACUACAAGCACUGGCUUGAAACCCAAAGGACUUGGCGGUGCUUUAGACCCACCUAGAGGAGCCUGUUCUA